CGUGAGAUGUUGGGUUAAGUCCCGCAACGAGCGCAACCCCUAUUGUUAGUUGCUACGCAAGAGCACUCUAGCGAGACUGCCGUUGACAAAACGGAGGAAGGUGGGGACGACGUCAAAUCAUCAUGCCCCUUAUAUCCUGGGCUACACACGUAAUACAAUGGCGGUCAACAGAGGGAAGCAAAGCCGCGAGGCAGAGCAAACCCCCAAAAGCCGUCCCAGUUCGGAUUGUAGGCUGCAACUCGCCUGCA
Molecule: ribosomal RNA, 248 nt
Filed under: uncultured bacterium
Lineage: Bacteria
Description: partial 16S ribosomal RNA
Rfam family: Bacterial small subunit ribosomal RNA
Source: RNAcentral